GAUUGAUUUUUUUUCUUCUUUCUUUUUUUUUUGAUUAAUGCCCCAGUUGGCUGUUCUGCUGAUUCUCGAGAUGCAGCUGAGUGAUCUUCUUUUCUUGCUCAAGAAGUCGGGAAAUACCGUCAGGAAUCCCUUUAACAUCAUCUUCUUCCGCUUCGAAUACAGGGAAUUCAAAAUUGGGAGAUGACGUCCGAUCAUUAUGUUUAAUGGGUUUGAGAAACAACCUGCAUAAAGAUUUUAAUAUGAA
This 244-nucleotide long non-coding RNA is filed under the name Lathyrus oleraceus (garden pea). RNAcentral's name for it is "Pisum sativum (pea) long non-coding RNA (PSAT_LNC037501)". Lineage: Eukaryota; Viridiplantae; Streptophyta; Magnoliopsida; Fabales; Fabaceae. The record is from RNAcentral.